CCUACGGGAGGCAGCAGUGGGGAAUUUUGGACAAUGGGCGAAAGCCUGAUCCAGCAAUGCCGCGUGAGUGAAGAAGGCCUUCGGGUUGUAAAGCUCUUUUGUCAGGGAAGAAACGGUGUGGGCUAAUAUCCUGCACUAAUGACGGUACCUGAAGAAUAAGCACCGGCUAACUACGUGCCAGCAGCCGCGGUAAUACGUAGGGUGCAAGCGUUAAUCGGAAUUACUGGGCGUAAAGCGUGCGCAGGCGGUUUUGUAAGUCUGUCGUGAAAUCCCUGGGCUCAACCUGGGAAUUGCGAUGGAGACUGCAAGGCUAGAAUCUGGCAGAGGGGGGUAGAAUUCCACGUGUAGCAGUGAAAUGCGUAGAGAUGUGGAGGAACACCGAUGGCGAAGGCAGCCCCCUGGGUCAAGAUUGACGCUCAUGCACGAAAGCGUGGGGAGCAAACAGGAUUAGAUACCCUGGUAGUCCACGCCCUAAACGAUGUCUACUAGUUGUCGGGUUUUAAUUAACUUGGUAACGCAGCUAACGCGUGAAGUAGACCGCCUGGGGAGUCGGUCGCAAGAUUAAAACUCAAAUGAAUUGACGGCGUGAGAGUAGACGACGGACGACGACGAGGGAGGAGG
This 621-nucleotide ribosomal RNA is filed under the name uncultured bacterium. Its description in RNAcentral is "bacterial SSU rRNA". It matches the Rfam family "Bacterial small subunit ribosomal RNA", at positions 338 to 954 of the family's 1533-position model. The record is from RNAcentral.